This 432-nucleotide ribosomal RNA is filed under the name uncultured bacterium. RNAcentral's name for it is "bacterial SSU rRNA". It matches the Rfam family "Bacterial small subunit ribosomal RNA", at positions 8 to 440 of the family's 1533-position model. The record is from RNAcentral.
AGAGUUUGAUCCUGGCUCAGGAUGAACGCUGGCGGCGUGCUUAACACAUACAAGUCGAGCGAUGAUCCGGUGCUUGCACCGGGGAUUAGUGGCGAACGGGUGAGUAACACGUGAGUAACCUGCCCUUAACUCUGGGAUAAGCCUGGGAAACUGGGUCUAAUACCGGAUAUGACUCCUCAUCGCAUGGUGGGGGGUGGAAAGCUUUUUGUGGUUUUGGAUGGACUCGCGGCCUAUCAGCUUGUUGGUGGGGUGAUGGCCACCAAGGCGACGACGGGUAGCCGGCCUGAGAGGGCGACCGGCCACACUGGGACUGAGACACGGCCCAGACUCCUACGGGAGGCAGCAGUGGGGAAUAUUGCACAAUGGGCGAAAGCCUGAUGCAGCGACGCCGNUGUGAGGGAUGACGGCCUUCGGGUUGUAACCUCUUUCAGC